RNAcentral lists this ribosomal RNA (481 nucleotides) under uncultured bacterium. RNAcentral's name for it is "partial 16S ribosomal RNA". It matches the Rfam family "Bacterial small subunit ribosomal RNA", at positions 28 to 507 of the family's 1533-position model. The record is from RNAcentral.
GACGAACGCUGGCGGCGUGCUUAACACAUGCAAGUCGAACGGGAUCCGGGCGUUCGGGUUUGGUGAGCGUGGCGAACGGGUGAGUAACACGUGAGUAACCUGCCCCCUUCUUUGGGAUAACGUCGGUAAAUCGGCGCUAAUACAGGCUAUUCUUGCUGCUUCGCCUGGUGUGGUUUGGGAAGGGUUUCUGGUGGGGGAUGGGCCGGCGGCCUAUCAGCUUGUUGGUGGGGGGAGGGCCUACCAAGGCUUUGACGGGUAGCCGGACUGAGAGGGGCUCCGGGGACACUGGGACUGGGACACGGCCCAGACGCCUACGGGAGGCAGCAGAGGGGAAGAUUGCGGAAUAGGCGCGAGCCUGAUGCAGCGACGCAGCGUGGGGGAUGACGGGCUUCGGGUUGUAAGCCUCUUGCAGUAUGGAACAAGGAUCCUUCUUUUGGGGGGUUUGAGGGUACGUGCAGAAGAAGCGCCGGCUAACUACGUG